AAAGAAUUAGUUAAAUUUAUAACCUAAAUAUGUCAAAUUUAAAUUAUUAUCCUUAAUAUUCUUUU
RNAcentral lists this transfer RNA (65 nucleotides) under Anisocentropus kawamurai. Its description in RNAcentral is "tRNA-Asp". Lineage: Eukaryota; Metazoa; Arthropoda; Insecta; Trichoptera; Calamoceratidae. The record is from RNAcentral.